GUUGUAUAGUCAAGUAAUGAAGUGCACAUGGUGGAUGCCUUGGCAGUCAGAGGCGAUGAAAGACGUGACAGCCUGCGAAAAGCGUCGGGGAGGCGGCAAUAUCCUGUGAUCCGGCGAUAUCUGAAUGGGGAAACCCACUUGUCAUAAGACAGGUAUCGUAAAUUUAUUUACGAGGCAAACCGGGAGAAGUGAAACAUCUCAGUAACCCGAGGAAAAGACAUCAAUAGAGAUUCCCCUAGUAGCGGCGAGCGAACGGGGAGGAGCCGACUGAUUAUAAUUUAGAGGAAUGACUUGGAAAGGUCAAUCGUAGAGGGUGAUAAUCCCGUACUCGAAAGGU
Molecule: ribosomal RNA, 337 nt
Filed under: Escherichia coli
Lineage: Bacteria; Pseudomonadati; Pseudomonadota; Gammaproteobacteria; Enterobacterales; Enterobacteriaceae
Description: partial 23S ribosomal RNA
Rfam family: Bacterial large subunit ribosomal RNA
Source: RNAcentral